RNAcentral lists this ribosomal RNA (840 nucleotides) under Bacillus tequilensis. RNAcentral's name for it is "bacterial SSU rRNA". It matches the Rfam family "Bacterial small subunit ribosomal RNA", at positions 100 to 925 of the family's 1533-position model. Lineage: Bacteria; Bacillati; Bacillota; Bacilli; Caryophanales; Bacillaceae. The record is from RNAcentral.
GAGGGAGAGGGGAGAAAGGGGGUAACCUGCCUGUAARACUGGGAUAACUCCGGGAAACCGGGGSUAAUACCGGAUGGUUGUUUGAACCGCAUGGUUCAAACAUAAAAGGUGGCUUCGGCUACCACUUACAGAUGGACCCGCGGCGCAUUAGCUAGUUGGUGAGGUAACGGCUCACCAAGGCGACGAUGCGUAGCCGACCUGAGAGGGUGAUCGGCCACACUGGGACUGAGACACGGCCCAGACUCCUACGGGAGGCAGCAGUAGGGAAUCUUCCGCAAUGGACGAAAGUCUGACGGAGCAACGCCGMGUGAGUGAUGAAGGUUUUCGGAUCGUAAAGCUCUGUUGUUAGGGAAGAACAAGUACCGUUCGAAUAGGGCGGUACCUUGACGGUACCUAACCAGAAAGCCACGGCUAACUACGUGCCAGCAGCCGCGGUAAUACGUAGGUGGCAAGCGUUGUCCGGAAUUAUUGGGCGUAAAGGGCUCGCAGGCGGUUUCUUAAGUCUGAUGUGAAAGCCCCCGGCUCAACCGGGGAGGGUCAUUGGAAACUGGGGAACUUGAGUGCAGAAGAGGAGAGUGGAAUUCCACGUGUAGCGGUGAAAUGCGUAGAGAUGUGGAGGAACACCAGUGGCGAAGGCGACUCUCUGGUCUGUAACUGACGCUGAGGAGCGAAAGCGUGGGGAGCGAACAGGAUUAGAUACCCUGGUAGUCCACGCCGUAAACGAUGAGUGCUAAGUGUUAGGGGGUUUCCGCCCCUUAGUGCUGCAGCUAACGCAUUAAGCACUCCGCCUGGGGAGUACGGUCGCAAGACUGAACUCAACGGAAUUGACGGGGGGCCGCC